UGGACAUCAAUUAGUAAGUCGCUCUGGAUAAGAGCGUCUGCCAAAUGACUUAAA
Salmo salar (Atlantic salmon) is the source of this 54-nucleotide non-coding RNA. Lineage: Eukaryota; Metazoa; Chordata; Actinopteri; Salmoniformes; Salmonidae. The record is from Rfam.